AAGUCGUAACAAGGUUUCCGUAGGUGAACCUGCGGAAGGAUCAUUACUGAGUUAGGGUCUUUCUGGCCCGACCUCCAACCCUUUGUUUACUAUACCCAUGUUGCUUUGGCGGGCCUGCCUUUCGGGGCUGCCGGGGGCAUCACUGCCUUCGAUCUGUGCCUGCCAGGAGCCUUUUUUAAAUUCUGUGUUCAACUGUGUUGUCUGAGUCCCAAUAUCAAAAUAUAAAAAACUUUCAACAACGGAUCUCUUGGUUCUG
This 256-nucleotide unclassified non-coding RNA is filed under the name fungal sp. RNAcentral's name for it is "partial internal transcribed spacer region". The stretch from base 1 to 46 matches the Rfam family "Eukaryotic small subunit ribosomal RNA", at positions 1786 to 1831 of the family's 1831-position model. Lineage: Eukaryota; Fungi. The record is from RNAcentral.